AACGAACGCUGGCGGCAUGCCUAACACAUGCAAGUCGAACGAGACCUUCGGGUCUAGUGGCGCACGGGUGCGUAACGCGUGGGAACCUGCCCUUAGGUUCGGAAUAACUCCCCGAAAGGGGUGCUAAUACCGGAUAAUGUCUUCGGACCAAAGAUUUAUCGCCUUUGGAUGGGCCCGCGUUGGAUUAGCUAGUUGGUAGGGUAAAAGCCUACCAAGGCGACGAUCCAUAGCUGGUCUGAGAGGAUGAUCAGCCACACUGGACUGAGACACGGCCCAGACUCCUACGGGAGGCGGCAGUGGGGAAUAUUGGACAAUGGGCGAAAGCCUGAUCCAGCAAUGCCGCGUGAGUGAUGAAGGCCUUAGGGUUGUAAAGCUCUUUUACCCGGGAUGAUAAUGACAGUACCGGGAGAAUAAGCUCCGGCUAACUCCGUG
RNAcentral lists this ribosomal RNA (432 nucleotides) under uncultured bacterium. RNAcentral describes it as "partial 16S ribosomal RNA". It matches the Rfam family "Bacterial small subunit ribosomal RNA", at positions 29 to 507 of the family's 1533-position model. The record is from RNAcentral.